AUCAGAUCAAUAAUUCCAAAACGACUUCAUGCCCAAGAGAAACGGAAGACCUUUUUCAAUUUCAGAUUUACUAGGAUUCAAAUUUACCAUAUAUGGUGAGGAAAGACCUAUCAGCACUCCAGAGCUUUAGGAAACAUCAAGAAAGUAACUGUUAUUGGAUGCAGGUCCUUGGACCCAGUGGCUACUAUGCUGAAGAGUCAUUCGCUUGGGCAAUUAAUGGAUGAAUCCAAAUCUGUUGUGUUUUUGCUUGAGCCAUUUGCUUUAUUUCAUUUCUUCUUCCUGCUCAUGCAAUGAGGCUAUGUCAUUUUUUAACUGAUUCCUUUUGUGGCUUUUGAUUGUUUUAAUGGGUGUAUGGUUUGUUAGUUGAUUGCUCUGCUGUCUUGCUUUCAUUUCCUUUCAUUCAUGAACAAUUGUGCAUAUUUCCCAAUAUUUUAAAUUUUUGCUGGCUGCUUUGGUUUCUUUUUGAAGAAAAAUUAGGAUAUAGUUUAAAAAAUAAAUAAAAUGUAACAUUAUCUGAUAUAUGAAUUAAAUUUGUGAUUGCAUUUGACAUCA
Long non-coding RNA from Hemicordylus capensis (graceful crag lizard), 552 nucleotides. RefSeq lists it as uncharacterized. Lineage: Eukaryota; Metazoa; Chordata; Lepidosauria; Squamata; Cordylidae. The record is from RefSeq and is a predicted model, not a curated record. The transcript is spliced from 2 exons.